This is a non-coding RNA of Solanum lycopersicum (tomato), 150 nucleotides long. NCBI's taxonomy places the organism in Eukaryota, Viridiplantae, Streptophyta, Magnoliopsida, Solanales, Solanaceae. The record is from RefSeq and is marked provisional.
GAUGACCAAGUCCUAGUCAUGCUUUUCCACAGCUUUCUUGAACUUCUUCUUGCUAAAUUUUGAUCUCUAAAUUGAUAAUUUUGAGAUGAGAUUUGAAGCUAUGAAAGUCCAAGAAAGCUGUGGGAAAAGAUGGCAAGCUUUGGACUUAUU